Molecule: non-coding RNA, 1039 nt
Organism: Myodes glareolus (Bank vole)
Lineage: Eukaryota; Metazoa; Chordata; Mammalia; Rodentia; Cricetidae
Source: RefSeq, a predicted model, not a curated record
GUCAGCUGCUGGUCUGCUAGCAGAUGGCAUGGGGACUCCAGAUGUGGGGCAGUGCACCAUGUGAUGCCGUUUCUGAGCCGUCAAGCUGGAAACAAGAGAGCCUGACUCCCUCUCCCCCCCCAAGACCUGGGGCAGUCAAGAGACAAGCCUCUUCCUCCACCCUCCAUCUAUGCAAGCCCUGCACACGGCUGUCCUAAUCUCCCAGUGACCUCGCAGGAGUACCCAGGUGAACGGCAUCAGCUGCUUGCUUACAGUCAAGGGCUCUGAAGAAGGAGGAAGGAGCUGUGAUGGAAGCUGGGUUUCUUUCCUCCUGGCCUGAAGGAACUCUCUGGUAACUAGCCAACUAGUCUCCAUGUCUUUCAGGACAAGGCUAACUCUUGCUCCGCAAAGACCUUGACAUUUUAUCCUCUGUUAAGCACCCCCUUUCUUCAGCCCCAUCAGCUGGGGGAACGUGGCAGCUCCUCUAAUAACCCCAGGUUUCAAACCUCCCCUUGGGAGGUGCAGGUUGUCAGGGCAGGCAAAUCAGUUUUGCUUGGAGAUCUCAGGAGAAGAAAGAGAAGCCCAGAGACCCCGAUCUCGUGCUAUGUUCUGGGAAGCUGCAUCUUCCACUGCCACUUUCAAGUGAACUGAAGCUCGUUACAAACACCGAAGAGGUGUGUGAUUCCGAGGAGGGGCCUGCAAAAUGGGAACUUGGCCUAGCGACACCUCCGAGGGCCAGUGGGAGAGAACCGCAAGCCUGUCCAGAUCUUAUCUUCUCAAGAAGGGGCAGGAAAACAGCACAGCGGCCUAGACAGGAACACCAGCUAGCGCCUGCUUACCACACCCCCACGCGGGGUGAAUUUACCAUUUCCCAUGAAGAUGAAAGAGGGGAAGCGCAGCAGGGCUUCCCUGAGGCUCCGUGGGGCAAGGCAGGGGCCAUGAGGACGACUCAAGGCAAUUGACUCUGCCAGAUCCCCCCCAAAAGAACACUGGGGGACUUACCCACUCUUUUAUGAAGAGGCAAUACAGCAAUAAAACCAGAUGCCUUGGUGUUUCCUUC